GGUUAACGCUGGCGGCGUGCAUAACACAUUCAAGUCGAACGGUGACGGGACUUCGGUCCCUGAUCAGUGGCGGACGGGUGAGUAACGCGUGAGCAACCUGCCCUUGUGUGGGGGAUAACGUCUGGAAACGGACGCUAAUACCGCAUAACCCAAUAGUACGGCAUCGUACAGUUGGCAAAGAUUUAUUGCACAAGGAUGGGCUCGCGUCUGAUUAGAUAGUUGGUGAGGUAACGGCUCACCAAGUCGACGAUCAGUAGCCGGACUGAGAGGUUGAACGGCCACAUUGGAACUGAGAUACGGUCCAG
This 305-nucleotide ribosomal RNA is filed under the name uncultured bacterium. Its description in RNAcentral is "bacterial SSU rRNA". It matches the Rfam family "Bacterial small subunit ribosomal RNA", at positions 28 to 334 of the family's 1533-position model. The record is from RNAcentral.